UAGGGAAUCUUCCGCAAUGGACGAAAGUCUGACGGAGCAACGCCGCGUGAGUGAAGAAGGAUUUCGGUUCGUAAAACUCUGUUGUUAGGGAAGAAAAAAUGUAUAGUAACUAUAUACAAAAGAGACGGUACCUAACCAGAAAGCCACGGCUAACUACGUGCCAGCAGCCGCGGUAAUACGUAGGUGGCAAGCGUUGUCCGGAAUUAUUGGGCGUAAAGCGCGCGCAGGUGGUUUAGAAAGUCUGAUGUGAAAGCCCACGGCUCAACCAUGGAGGGUCAUUUGAAACUAAUAAACUUGAGUGCAGGAGAGAAAAGUGGAAUUCCUAGUGUAGCGGUGAAAUGCGUAGGGAUUAGGAGGAACAACGGUGGCGAAAGCGGCUUUUUGGCCUGCAACUGACACUGAGGCGCGAAAGCGUGGGGAGCAAACAGG
This 429-nucleotide ribosomal RNA is filed under the name Verrucomicrobiota bacterium. RNAcentral's name for it is "Verrucomicrobia bacterium partial 16S ribosomal RNA". It matches the Rfam family "Bacterial small subunit ribosomal RNA", at positions 355 to 776 of the family's 1533-position model. The record is from RNAcentral. Lineage: Bacteria; Pseudomonadati; Verrucomicrobiota.